This 253-nucleotide ribosomal RNA is filed under the name uncultured bacterium. RNAcentral's name for it is "partial 16S ribosomal RNA". It matches the Rfam family "Bacterial small subunit ribosomal RNA", at positions 524 to 776 of the family's 1533-position model. The record is from RNAcentral.
UACGUAGGGUGCGAGCGUUGUCCGGAAUUAUUGGGCGUAAAGAGCUCGUAGGCGGUUUGUCGCGUCUGCUGUGAAAACUGGAGGCUCAACCUCCAGCCUGCAGUGGGUACGGGCAGACUAGAGUGCGGUAGGGGAGAUUGGAAUUCCUGGUGUAGCGGUGGAAUGCGCAGAUAUCAGGAGGAACACCGGUGGCGAAGGCGGGUCUCUGGGCCGAUAUUGACGCUGAGGAGCGAAAGCGUGGGGAGCAAACAGG